Molecule: ribosomal RNA, 533 nt
Filed under: uncultured bacterium
Lineage: Bacteria
Description: bacterial SSU rRNA
Rfam family: Bacterial small subunit ribosomal RNA
Source: RNAcentral
AGAGUUUGAUCAUGGCUCAGGACGAACGCUGGCGGCGUGCUUAACACAUGCAAGUGGAGCGACGAACCAGGCUUCGGCCUGGGGCAAAGCCGCGAACGGGUGAGUAUCACGUGGGUAACCUGCCCCGAUGACCGGGACAACCCGAGGAAACUCGGGCUAAUACCGGAUGCGCUCGCCACACAUCAGUGUGGUGAGGAAAGGAAGCUUCGGCCUCCGCAUCGGGAGGGGCCCGCGGCCCAUUAGCUUGUUGGUGAGGUAACGGCUCACCAAGGCUCCGAUGGGUAGCUGGUCUGAGAGGACGAUCAGCCACACUGGGACUGAGACACGGCCCAGACUCCUACGGGAGGCAGCAGUGGGGAAUCUUGCGCAAUGCGCGAAAGCGUGACGCAGCAACGCCGCGUGGAGGAUGAAGACCUUCGGGUCGUAAACUCCUUUCGAUCGAGACGAAUGGCCUCCGGGUGAACAAUCCGGAGGAGUGACGGUACCGAGAGAAGAAGCCCCGGCUAACUCCGUGCCAGCAGCGGCGGUAAUUC